UUGUCGCUCUAUGUCUAUUUGAGCGGUUACACGGGAACGCAUAAACCACGUAUCUCGGAAACAGACUGUACUGUUUUGGAAAAUUAAGAUCUGAAAGUCAUGAGUAAUUUCCAUUGUGCUGGUUAUGAUUCACUGUCACCUUGUAUCUGUCAUUUAGUGAAAUCAACAGCAUCAUUGCAAAAGCUACGAUGCCUUGCCCCAAGCGCAAAUUAAAACCAAAAAUAAGGUUCAAAGUGUCGCAAACAAAACUUUCGCAAACUUUAAAGAAACUAAAAACACCACUAGAAUUGACAAAUAGUUCGGGAGCAUUUUCAUCCUGCAACAUUAACAUUAUAAAACAGCUGAACACCAACACUUUUCCGCAGCCCAUCGAAUGGAGACAUAACUGGUUGGAAGUUUUUAAAGAUACCAUCACUCGUCACAAUUGGGAAGCAUUCAUAAGGACUCUCAGAUUGGCUUCUCAAAAUAACACAUUUUGUGGCCUGGACAACGUAUUACGGAACUCUUUCUUAAGCAUUCUUACACAUAAAAUCUACAUGGAUAUAAAAGCUUUGCGUUUAUAUUUGUACACAAUUGCACCAUGUCGUAAUGAGCAUGAUAUAGAAUUUUGUAUUAAAACUAUACUGCGGAUAUUCAAUGGCGAUCAAAACAAACCCGUACAAAAAAACGGAGGAAAAACAAUAGAUAGCGCAAGUAAUUCGGAUGUUAUUCAAAGCUAAAUAACAAAUUCGCACAAUAAGAGGUUCACAAUUACGAUACAUUUACUAUUACAAAGCAAACUUAACCAUCUUUAAUUUAGCUUUAAUAUACAAUUGAGAUGAUCAACCGGUAUUAACUAUUUUUGUAAUAUUUCGUCCUAAAAUACCUUAUUAUUAUUGUUAUUAUUAUUAUUACACGUUUUUUCUACUGGAGUAGCUUAUUUUUGGCCAUGAAUAUGUAAUGCUCGUCACAUCGUCGAAUUUUCCGAGCAUUAUUCUUACUAAUUCUCAAAUUCAUCUUACCCUCUAGAUUGCGCUCUAGAAAAUACGCAAGAUAGUGAUGUCAAACUUCUUAUAUGAAUAACAAAUGAGUAUACUUUUACUAAAAAA
Anopheles arabiensis is the source of this 1088-nucleotide long non-coding RNA. RefSeq lists it as uncharacterized. The record is from RefSeq and is a predicted model, not a curated record. Lineage: Eukaryota; Metazoa; Arthropoda; Insecta; Diptera; Culicidae. The transcript has 2 exons.